UACAGAGGUCCCAAGCGUUGUUCGGAUUCAUUGGGCGUAAAGGGCUCGUAGGCGGCCAACUAAGUCGGACGUGAAAUCCCCAGGCUCAACCUGGGAACUGCGUCCGAUACUGGAUGGCUUGAAUCCGGGAGAGGGAUGCAGAAUUCCAGGUGUAGCGGUGAAAUGCGUAGAUAUCUGGAGGAAUACCGGUGGCGAAGGCGGCAUCCUGGACCGGCAUUGACGCUGAGGAGCGAAAGCCAGGGGAGCAAACGGG
RNAcentral lists this ribosomal RNA (253 nucleotides) under uncultured bacterium. Its description in RNAcentral is "partial 16S ribosomal RNA". It matches the Rfam family "Bacterial small subunit ribosomal RNA", at positions 524 to 776 of the family's 1533-position model. The record is from RNAcentral.